RNAcentral lists this unclassified non-coding RNA (562 nucleotides) under Hevea brasiliensis (rubber tree). The record is from RNAcentral. Lineage: Eukaryota; Viridiplantae; Streptophyta; Magnoliopsida; Malpighiales; Euphorbiaceae.
GAUGACUUUCUUAAUGAACUACCUACAGAAGAUAUAGAACCAUAAGUAAAUUUUAUAAUGGCCAAAACAUGUCAACAUGUCUAACUACCUCCUCUGUCCCAAACUGUCAAUCACUCUGUCACUCUGUUAUUUCAACAGCUCAAACAGACAUAUAAUUGCUACAUUAAUGUUCCAGUUGAUUGUGAAAAUGCCUAUGGUUCCCUUAACUACCCUCAUCUUUUUCCUUUCAUAUAUUACAAUCAGGGGUAUUAAAGUUCACAAAUUUAGCAUGUGUUUAAAAUUAGUACUGGAAAAACAUCAUAGGUGAUAAGACAUCCGAAAUGAAAUGUAACAAAAAAGUUGGCAAGAAAUGAGCACUCCAUCAUAAAACAUGUUUCCACCAGUUCACCUGAUAACAUGCAUCAUUUAGCAAGCAUAUGCAAGCCGGUUAAAUUUAAGGGCAAAAGUCAUUUCUUCUAUCAAUUUGUCUUUUCUUCUACAAAAAGGGAAAAGGCCUCAGCUACAUAUCUAAAUUGCCCAUGAAAAGUCACAGAUCAGAAAUAUACUAACAGACCUAUUUCUU